This is a non-coding RNA of Acanthosepion pharaonis, 110 nucleotides long. The record is from the annotation of a GenBank genome assembly. NCBI's taxonomy places the organism in Eukaryota, Metazoa, Mollusca, Cephalopoda, Sepiida, Sepiidae.
AUACGGCCAUAUCAUGUUGAAACACAGGGUCUCGAACGAUCAUAGAAGUUAAGCAACGUCGGGCCUGAACAGUAACGAGAUGGGCGACCGCUUGAGAAUACCAGGUACUA